AAUGAUCCAUUGAUCAUUCAUUGAUAGAUUUGAAACAUAUAAGGUUUAAUAAACCCUAAUAAAUCCAUAAUCAUGACUAAAUAGACCUUAUUAGCCAUCAAUGUUCAAGGCAUUGAAAGUUAAUCAAGAAUUGCUCAAAUGAAAUGAAAUAAAGUGUUAAAAAAUAAAAUAGGGAAAAAUAAAAAGAGUUUGCGUUGGAAAAAAUUUAAUCAGAAUUAAAAUAAGUGAGGAAAAAAUAAAAA
This 242-nucleotide long non-coding RNA is filed under the name Lathyrus oleraceus (garden pea). RNAcentral's name for it is "Pisum sativum (pea) long non-coding RNA (PSAT_LNC019090)". Lineage: Eukaryota; Viridiplantae; Streptophyta; Magnoliopsida; Fabales; Fabaceae. The record is from RNAcentral.